RNAcentral lists this ribosomal RNA (453 nucleotides) under uncultured bacterium. RNAcentral describes it as "bacterial SSU rRNA". It matches the Rfam family "Bacterial small subunit ribosomal RNA", at positions 340 to 785 of the family's 1533-position model. The record is from RNAcentral.
UACGGAAGGCAGCAGUGGGGAAUAUUGCACAAUGGGCGCAAGCCUGAUGCAGCCAUGCCGCGUGUAUGAAGAAGGCCUUCGGGUUGUAAAGUACUUUCAGUCGUGAGGAAGGUGUUAAGGUUAAUAACCUUAGCAAUUGACGUUAGCGACAGAAGAAGCACCGGCUAACUCCGUGCCAGCAGCCGCGGUAAUACGGAGGGUGCGAGCGUUAAUCGGAAUUACUGGGCGUAAAGGGCACGCAGGCGGUUAAUUAAGUUGGAUGUGAAAUCCCCGGGCUUAACCUGGGAAUGGCAUUCAAGACUGGUUAGCUAGAGUCUUGUAGAGGGGGUUAGAAUUCCAUGUGUAGCGGUGAAAUGCGUAGAGAUGUGGAGGAAUACCGGUGGCGAAGGCGGCCCCUGGACAAAGACUGACGCUCAUGUGCGAAAGCGUGGGGAGCAAACAGGGAUUAGAUAC